Molecule: ribosomal RNA, 315 nt
Filed under: uncultured bacterium
Lineage: Bacteria
Description: bacterial SSU rRNA
Rfam family: Bacterial small subunit ribosomal RNA
Source: RNAcentral
GAUGAACGCUGGCGGCGUGCCUAACACAUGCAAGUCGAACGAAGCCUGAUGAAGUGCUUGCACAGAUUCAUGCUUAGUGGCGGACGGGUGAGUAACGCGUGGGUAACCUGCCUUACACUGGGGGACAACAGUUGGAAACGACUGCUAAUACCGCAUAAGCGCACGGGAUCGCAUGAUUCAGUGUGAAAAACUCCGGUGGUGUAAGAUGGACCCGCGUCUGAUUAGCUAGUUGGUGAGGUAACGGCCCACCAGGGCGACGAUCAGUAGCCGACCUGAGAGGGUGACCGGCCACAUUGGGACUGAGACACGGCCCAA